ACGGAAGGCAGCAGUGGGGAAUAUUGCACAAUGGGCGAAAGCCUGAUGCAGCGACGCCGCGUGAGUGAAGAAGUAUCUCGGUAUGUAAAGCUCUAUCAGCAGGGAAGAAAAUGACGGUACCUGACUAAGAAGCCCCGGCUAACUACGUGCCAGCAGCCGCGGUAAUACGUAGGGGGCAAGCGUUAUCCGGAUUUACUGGGUGUAAAGGGAGCGUAGACGGUUUGGCAAGUCUGAAGUGAAAUGCGGGGGCUCAACUCCUGAACUGCUUUGGAAACUGUCGAACUAGAGUGCAGGAGAGGUAAGUGGAAUUCCUAGUGUAGCGGUGAAAUGGGUAGAUAUUAGGAGGAACACCAGUGGCGAAGGCGGCUUACUGGACUGUAACUGACGUUGAGGCUCGAAAGCGUGGGGAGCAAACAGGAUUAGAUACCCUGGUA
This 434-nucleotide ribosomal RNA is filed under the name uncultured Lachnospiraceae bacterium. Its description in RNAcentral is "partial 16S ribosomal RNA". It matches the Rfam family "Bacterial small subunit ribosomal RNA", at positions 341 to 792 of the family's 1533-position model. The record is from RNAcentral. Lineage: Bacteria; Bacillati; Bacillota; Clostridia; Lachnospirales; Lachnospiraceae.